UGGGGAAUAUUGCGCAAUGGGCGAAAGCCUGACGCAGCAACGCCGCGUGAGUGAUGAAGGUCUUCGGGUCGUAAAGCUCUGUCGGAGGGAACGAAUGCUCUUGAGGUUAAUAGCCUCAGGAGGUGACGGUACCCUCAAAGGAAGCACCGGCUAACUCUGUGCCAGCAGUCGCGGUAAUACAGAGGGUGCGAGCGUUAAUCGGAAUUACUGGGCGUAAAGCGCGCGUAGGCGGCUUUGCAAGUCGAUUGUGAAAUCCCCGGGCUCAACCUGGGAACUGCAUUCGAGACUGCAUUGCUAGAGUAUGGGAGAGGGAAGUGGAAUUUCAGGUGUAGCGGUGAAAUGCGUAGAUAUCUGAAGGAACAUCAGUGGCGAAAGCGACUUCCUGGACCAAUACUGACGCUCAUGUGCGAAAGCGUGGGGAGCAAA
Molecule: ribosomal RNA, 426 nt
Filed under: uncultured bacterium
Lineage: Bacteria
Description: bacterial SSU rRNA
Rfam family: Bacterial small subunit ribosomal RNA
Source: RNAcentral